AUUGAACGCUGGCGGCAGGCCUAACACAUGCAAGUCGAGCGGAUGAAGGGAGCUUGCUCCUGGAUUCAGCGGCGGACGGGUGAGUAAUGCCUAGGAAUCUGCCUGGUAGUGGGGGAUAACGUCCGGAAACGGGCGCUAAUACCGCAUACGUCCUGAGGGAGAAAGUGGGGGAUCUUCGGACCUCACGCUAUCAGAUGAGCCUAGGUCGGAUUAGCUAGUUGGUGGGGUAAAGGCCUACCAAGGCGACGAUCCGUAACUGGUCUGAGAGGAUGAUCAGUCACACUGGAACUGAGACACGGUCCAGACUCCUACGGGAGGCAGCAGUGGGGAAUAUUGGACGAUGGGCGAAAGCCUGAUCCAGCCAUGCCGCGUGUGUGAAGAAGGUCUUCUGAUUGUAAAGCACUUUAAGUUGGGAGGAAGGGCAGUAAGUUAAUACCUUGCUGUUUUGACGUUACCAACAGAAUAAGCACCGGCUAACUUCGUG
RNAcentral lists this ribosomal RNA (484 nucleotides) under uncultured bacterium. RNAcentral describes it as "partial 16S ribosomal RNA". It matches the Rfam family "Bacterial small subunit ribosomal RNA", at positions 30 to 507 of the family's 1533-position model. The record is from RNAcentral.